CUCCAAUCCAAACGAACAAUCAUUUUAUUUUUUCUAUAAUCAAAUUAAAACCAAUAUAAAAACAAAAUGUAUGUUGGUAGUAAUUUGUUCUCAAUUAUACAAUCAAAUUCACCAGCCUGUAUAAUUUCUAUAAUGUAUUUAAAUUUUAUUUCAGCCAAAGUUGGCAGAGGAAUUAGUUAAUAGACCUUGAAAUGUAAACAAAACUUUGGAAGUCAAACUGAUACCAGUCUUGCUACUUCACGAGACUGGAAAAAUAAAAUAAAAAAUAAUGAAUUAUUUUAUGCCAAAAUAGAUUAAAAUCACAUAAAUAGUUAACAAAUGAAGAAAUAUAUCAACAAUGAAGAGGGUAAUUUCCAAGAUAUGUUGAGGGUAUACACUAUACAACAUAUGUAUCGACUUUUUAUCUUCAUCAUAAAUAGAUUACCAAAAACUACUAAGUCUUCAUCCAAAUAUCCUGCUCAUCUUCAUCCCAGAUUAUAAAAAACAUUUAGGGAUAGAAAAAUCAAAGGAUUGAAAUAGGAAAGGGCUUAGAAAGGGAGAGCUCAGAGGAAAAAAUAUUACAUGUGAUUUGCUGAAAGCGAGCACGAGAUGAAGGAGAUACGGGAGCGAUGGUAAUGCUAGGGAUUGGAUGUUGUCCCUUAUCUCUCUGUUUGUUAACCAAACAGACCAUGACCAUGUAGUAUCUACGUUCCUGCAAGUAAGGUUAAAACCCUAAUUAGAAAAAGAUAAAAUUGAUGAUGGUGGUGUCACGAAGUAUUUCUAAGGAAUACCAUUAUAAAUUUUACCCUGUGACUUGCGUAUGAACUUGAUGUAAUCUUGAUGUUCCCCUUUGCUUUAAGUCUCGGUGAACUUGAAUAACAUUAGAAAAAUCCCAAAGCUAACGGAGAACAAUAUUCUCAAUGUUUUAACUUACUCUAAAUAUGAAAUACCGGCUAGUGGUAGUGCAGGGCUACGACAAUGGUAGCAGCAAUUUCAAGGUGAACGUCGGUUACCUGAGAUGUUGGCUGGAAAGGACGGUGAUGGCUGCAGUGUUGGGUUCGAUUAUGGCAUAAAUGUAGUCGCCGGUAAGAGAAGUAGGAGGCGGCAUAAUGGAUGUGACCGGUUAUCCGUGUACAGUGGUUUAGAUCUAGGGUUGUUGAGGGCGACGAUGGUUUUAAUAGUAGAGCUGGUACCGGUGGCGGUAACCGGUAGUAGUGAAGGCAGAGAUGUUAACCAGUAUAACUGAAAUCUGUAGCCAUGGUGUUGGCUCUACUCGUAAUGGGAGUUAGAGUUUUUCAGAGAGGAUAAGGGAGGAAGAGGGAUUUAGAGAGAGAAUGAGAGGGGCUUUGAAUUAAGGUUGUGAAUGGUGGGUACCUGAUAGUGGAUGUUGCUAGAGGUGGAGGUCAUUGUGAGUGAUUGGGGACUGGGAAUAGGGAGUAAAGG
This 1422-nucleotide long non-coding RNA is filed under the name Lactuca sativa (garden lettuce). RNAcentral describes it as "long non-coding RNA (LSAT_LNC008900)". Lineage: Eukaryota; Viridiplantae; Streptophyta; Magnoliopsida; Asterales; Asteraceae. The record is from RNAcentral.